Molecule: long non-coding RNA, 1968 nt
Organism: Sapajus apella (tufted capuchin)
Lineage: Eukaryota; Metazoa; Chordata; Mammalia; Primates; Cebidae
Exons: 2
Source: RefSeq, a predicted model, not a curated record
GUAAUCCAUCCGCCUCAGCCUCCCAAAGUGCUGGGAUUACAGGCGUGAGUCACUGUGCCCAGCCUUUUUUAACUUUUUUUUUUGGGGGGGAGGCGGAGGGAGGCUGUUUUUUAAGGAGUAAGGCUUAUGUAGAGAAAUGCAGGCUGAGUGGGUGCUGGUGGGUCAGGCAAAGGGACCCAUAUGCGCCCAGGGCCUGAGUGCAGGAGUGCAGGACGGGGCUGAGAGGCACGGAUGAGCCAGGAAGGAUAGAGCCCUGAGGUCACGCCAGCAUGGCCCUGACUGAUGGGAAGAAAGGGCAGGAAGCCUGCUCCGGUCCCUGGCAGUUGCAUUUCCUCUAUCAUUCUGUACUUUAUGCCAUUUGUAGCUAAGGCUAAAGUUAGCCUUGUCAGUAGGAAUCUUUUUAUAGGAAAAGCUUAACAGAGAGAAAAAGAGAAUUCGCUGCCCUAAGUGGAAGCAGCUGCUGGGAGCUCUGGCAGCUAGGCUGGCUCUGGUGGCUUGCUAAGGACAAGAGCCAGGAGUCCAGGGCUUCUUUACCACAGCUCACCUGAAGCUCCUGCUGGAAGAGGGGUCUUUAGAAACAGAAAUAAUCUGAAAAUAAACACCUCUCUGAGCUUCUAGCAGAUAGGCCCUACUGCAGUGUAAUCUUGGAGUCCCAGUCCCCUGAUGAGGCCCUGGCUGGUCUGUGCUCCCCGGGGUUCCUGGGCUGGCAAGGUAGCCCGGCGGUGUGAUGCCAGGGCCCCAGGCUUCUCCCCUGCUGGGCUGCAGCUCCAAGGGUGAGCAGCGUCUGGUCGGGGGUGUUCAGUGAGGGCAGGCCUGCUGCUGGGGCCAGGGUGGCGCAGGGGCAAGUGAUGCAGAGACCCUUCUGUGAAUCACCUGAUGAAGCGACCAUCCCACCCAUCCCAUGCACGUCCCAAAGGCCUCGACUGUGACCGGGGAGCCUCCCUGCUGAUGCACUGAUCUCAGUGGGAAGCCUGAGGGCUGAGGGCUGCUUCCUCACCAUUUGGCUUUCAUCUUCCUUCUUCUCAGCUGGCUUGUCUGACUGGGAGGCUGCUUUUCUCCUAGGCAUAGACAAGGGGAAGAUACAGAUCAGCCUCUCAGGUUCUCCCACUGUCCCAGAACUCUUCUGCCUCCUCCCUGCCAGACUCACCCCAGUCUUCAGGUAAACCUGUGCUGGAAAAUGAUGGCGUGAAGGAGGAGGCUUGUCCAGGCCCAGUCUGGUGAGGAGCCAGGCCCGGGUGAGUGUCCAGGCCCUCUGUGUGCUCAUGGCCUGGGAUAUGAAACUGGCCUAGGCGGAGAGGGAGUCCUCAUCCUUCGGCGAGCCCUCCCGGCUCUCUCAUCCAUGCAGCCAUGUGCCUCUGUGUGACCACUGUCAGCCCUGCACACCUGGACUUACUAUCACAGGAAAUUGCUCAGAAGCCUGCCUCCUGUCUUGGCGAUUUACAUACGCCCAGGCCCAGUGGAGGCUUGGGAGAAGCCCAUGCUGCAGAUCCACCUUGCUGCUCUCUGACACAUGUGGAGCCUCCCUUGCCUGCCGUCUGUGAUGCAUACAAAGAAGCCCUUGGCAGGAAAUCCAGGCUGUGCCCCUGCCAUGAAGCACCACACCAGCUGCCUGCACCUGUGGGCCUCUGUCAUCUUGCUUCAUCCUCAUGGAGCCAUGGGAAGGUUAUGAGAGGAACUAGGGCUGCAGUGUGAAAACUCUGGGCAUACACAGAGUUCUCACUUGUGUCAGCCAAUUGGAAGGCAGCCGGGAGGGCCAGGAGAGGGCAACAAAGCGGCGGGGGGGUGGGGGCGGGGUUACCAAGGGAGCAGGGCCCCUGGCGCAGCUUUCCGUAUUCUGGCUGGUGAGGCCUGCUCCUGUGCCCUCUGGUGCCUCAGUGAGCCAUGACAUUGGUAGUCCAAAGUGAGCACAUUCCUGAUGCCAAGUCAUAUUUAAAAAUAAAAUCCAAGCUUUGCAUCUCUUUUGAGAAA